UGCUAUCAUGAUAGAUCACAAUUGACUUUGCCUCAGUUUCUCUGAAUAGAAUCAUUUGCUUACAUGUCACACAUGAUCAAGGCCAUGUUUUUCUUCUACCUCAAAGAAGCCAAUACAAACCUGUUGGACUUUAAUGAAAGAUGUUUUCCCUCUCUGAACCUCAAACCUAAUGAAAAAUCCUUGACUCCCCUACCUUGAGCUGAAUAAAUUAUUCAUGUUUGCUGCAGGAGGAUGGUUUAAAGUUUGGGAGAGUUUGUUUUGUAAGACUGUAUUGAGAAAAAUAGAAAAAUAGAAAAAAUGAGGAAAAAGAAGAAAGAAAAAGAACAAAGAAAAAGAAUUGAAUGAAAGAAAGUUGGGAUAUAAGUUAGAAAGUGGUUGUAAUUUAAGUGAAGCAAAAGAGAAAUCUAUGUGCAUGAUUUGGAUUGUUUAAUCUCUUAGCUCAAGGUGCUUUGUUAUCCAGAAAAACCAUAUUUCUUUCUUAGCCCAGCCUCAAUACAAGCCAAUG
RNAcentral lists this long non-coding RNA (505 nucleotides) under Vigna radiata. RNAcentral's name for it is "long non-coding RNA (VRAD_LNC015062)". Lineage: Eukaryota; Viridiplantae; Streptophyta; Magnoliopsida; Fabales; Fabaceae. The record is from RNAcentral.